Molecule: long non-coding RNA, 234 nt
Organism: Urocitellus parryii (Arctic ground squirrel)
Lineage: Eukaryota; Metazoa; Chordata; Mammalia; Rodentia; Sciuridae
Source: RefSeq, a predicted model, not a curated record
GCCGGCGCUCUAGGCACGUGUGCAGCCUACGCUUUCCGGAUGAUCUUCAUUGAAAGUAUUUCCACAAAAACUAGGAAUAUUUCCAAGAAUGCUUUAAUUUUAUGGAACAUAAAAGCGUAGAACAUAAUAUUGUGCCACUAUGAGAAAGGCAAGGUUGGUCUUUAGAGUAGAGAGACCUGGCCUGAAUCUUGGCUCUUCCAACUCAAGGUACAUGUGUCUCUCAGAUGCUCAGUU